Acanthosepion pharaonis is the source of this 102-nucleotide non-coding RNA. Lineage: Eukaryota; Metazoa; Mollusca; Cephalopoda; Sepiida; Sepiidae. The record is from the annotation of a GenBank genome assembly.
AGCUUAAAAACAUCGUUGCCUGUAAGAUCACCGCAGUUAAGCAACGUCGAGCCUGGCCAGUACUUAGAUGUGUGACCGCUUCGGAAAAUCAGGUUCUGUAUG